Molecule: ribosomal RNA, 301 nt
Filed under: uncultured bacterium
Lineage: Bacteria
Description: partial 16S ribosomal RNA
Rfam family: Bacterial small subunit ribosomal RNA
Source: RNAcentral
CAGCCGCCGCGGGAAUACAGAGGGUGCGAGCGUUAAUCGGAUUUACUGGGCGUAAAGCGUGCGUAGGCGGCUUUUUAAGUCGGAUGUGAAAUCCCUGAGCUUAACUUAGGAAUUGCAUUCGAUACUGGGAAGCUAGAGUGUGGGAGAGGAUGGUAGAAUUCCAGGUGUAGCGGUGAAAUGCGUAGAGAUCUGGAGGAAUACCGAUGGCGAAGGCAGCCAUCUGGCCUAAUACUGACGCUGAGGUACGAAAGCAUGGGGAGCAAACAGGAUUAGAUACCCCAGUAGUCCCUGUCUCUUAUAC